GCUGCCUUGGAGAUAAUGCGGAAAACGCAACAGUAUAAAUAGAACGGACAGGGGACGUUUACAGCACAUUAAAUCGAAAAACCACAAAGUGACAUACGUUGAUAUAGCUUACUCUCCAAGCGACGCAAGUUUUUUUUGUUGAAACUUCGAAAACACAAUAAUUUAACAAGAUGUUUUGGCCACAAAGUGAUGAAAGCAAAUCCCAAGCUGGAUGUCCUGAAACAAAGACAAGAAGUAUCUUCCAGUCUUUUGUAGACAGAUCGUAUAGAAAUAAUCUACGACAUCUACAGAAUGACACAGAGGAGACAGUAGCAACGACAUACGAUAAAAUGAUGUCUGUCUUUAACAAUCACGUGAGCGCAGCUCAAAGUUUUGUAGACCAAUCGCAAUCGGCUUUACAACAGAUAAGCCAAGUAUCACGUGCGCUGUUAUCCACGUCAAUGCGACCAAUCGAAUGCUACAGCUGAAUAAUUUGAACUAUAAAUAGAGGAUAUAAUAAGAUUUAUUGCAGAAUAAUAAGCCACGGGUAUAGACUUUUAAAGUGCGAGAGGAGAAAUGGACAUGCAUUUGAACGUACUGCCAACAAAACGUAGAUCUGGUACGAAAAUAUAUCGUAGGAGAAAGAGCCGGGGGAGGAGUCACGUGUUAGAAAUCUCUUACCACAAGUUAUUGUGUUCACUUGAACUGUCGUGUUUACAUAAUUCCACGCUGGGACAAUAUCUUGCGUUUAUUUCAAGAACGAAUCUCGUAAAUCAUAACAAUUGUAGUCAGUUUUUAACCAGUUAUGUCAUUGAUCUUAAUUAAUUAAUGUUCAGAGAUAAUUCCAAUUAUCGUAUAUUUUUAAUAACACAUAGUAUAUAUGGACAUAGUAUAUAUGGACAAUACACAAAGCAUUGUAUGUUUAUAAUUAUGGAACACCCGAUACCACUUCUGUAUAUACUGUGAGUUAUUAGGACAUCUUGUACUUAUCAAAGAUCAAAAUAUAACUUAAAUAACUGUCCCUUAUUGAAUUGUAAACAGAUUCUAACACAGAUUAAUAAAUUAAAUGUAUUUAUUAGAAUUAAUAUAACUACGUGCUCGUUGUGUUUAGUUGAUAUUAGUCACGUACAUUACGUGCACUGUUUCGUAUAUUAAUUCGUUUUAAUGUUUUUUAUUUAUUUUCGUACAGAGAAAUCUAUAUUUUUGUAUAUUAGUACACGAACAAGUGCAAUGUUGAGCUAUAAUCCACGUCCCAGUUUUUUUAUUAAUGUAUUAACUUAUGUUUCAUAUAACUCUCUAAUUUAUGUCCAAAUAACAACAAUUGUAUCCACUAGACGGUUUAAAUAUGUGAUAUAUAUAUAUAUAUAUAUGUCUGUUUUUACGCCAUUUUGAAUUUUAAAUUGUAAAUACGUCAUUUAUUAUCCUUCAUUACGUCAUUUAUCAUUUAAUUUAUUGUUGAAAUGUUUGAAACGACUGUUGUAUAUCGUUUAUAUUUAUAUUUAAAUACUCACGUGUUGUAAAAAUAUUUAUUAAUACAUGUGUCUUUAUUUUCUCAAUGAAUGUUGUGUUCAACUCAGAAACAUGAGGUGAAAUUAAUAAAAUAUCCUUAAAAAUUCA
This is a long non-coding RNA of Patella vulgata (common limpet), 1596 nucleotides long. RefSeq lists it as uncharacterized. NCBI's taxonomy places the organism in Eukaryota, Metazoa, Mollusca, Gastropoda, Patellidae. The transcript is spliced from 3 exons. The record is from RefSeq and is a predicted model, not a curated record.